RNAcentral lists this ribosomal RNA (122 nucleotides) under uncultured bacterium. Its description in RNAcentral is "partial 16S ribosomal RNA". It matches the Rfam family "Bacterial small subunit ribosomal RNA", at positions 382 to 496 of the family's 1533-position model. The record is from RNAcentral.
UCUGAUGGAGCACGCCGCGUGUGCGAAGAAGGCCUUNNNGGUUGUAAAGCACUGUUGUAAGGGAAGAACAGAUGUGAGAGGAAAUGCUCAUAUUGUGACGGUACCUUACCAGAAAGCCACGG